Molecule: long non-coding RNA, 338 nt
Filed under: Mytilus galloprovincialis (Mediterranean mussel)
Lineage: Eukaryota; Metazoa; Mollusca; Bivalvia; Mytilida; Mytilidae
Source: RNAcentral
AAUGUCAGAGGCAACAGAUAUGGGGUACUCACACAUACUCAUCAUGGGAGAUUUUAAUUAUCCUGAAAUAAACUGGGAAACAUGGAACACAAAGGGGGAUAGACCAAACAGCACUGAAAAUAAAUUUCUGAAAGCACUACAAGAUAAUUUUCUGUACCAACACACAACAAAACCAACAAGAUGGAGAGGAGCUGACACACCCCAUACACUUGACUUACUAAUCACAAAUGAAGAAGAGAUGAUUUCAAACCUAGAAUAUAUGAGCCCGCUUGGAAAAAGUGACCACUGCGUCCUAUCCUUUGAUUUUAACUGUUAUGUAAAUAUAAAAAGAGCACCGA